Molecule: ribosomal RNA, 253 nt
Filed under: uncultured bacterium
Lineage: Bacteria
Description: partial 16S ribosomal RNA
Rfam family: Bacterial small subunit ribosomal RNA
Source: RNAcentral
UACGAAGGGGGCUAGCGUUGCUCGGAAUCACUGGGCGUAAAGCGCACGUAGGCGGCUUUCUAAGUCAGGGGUGAAAUCCUGGAGCUCAACUCCAGAACUGCCUUUGAUACUGGAGAGCUUGAGUCCGGGAGAGGUGAGUGGAACUGCGAGUGUAGAGGUGAAAUUCGUAGAUAUUCGGAAGAACACCAGUGGCGAAGGCGACUCACUGGACACGUAUUGACGCUGAGGUGCGAAAGCGUGGGGAGCAAACAGG